RNAcentral lists this transfer RNA (73 nucleotides) under Actinomycetota bacterium. Its description in RNAcentral is "tRNA-Gly". It matches the Rfam family "tRNA". From Rfam's summary of the family: Transfer RNA (tRNA) molecules are approximately 80 nucleotides in length. Lineage: Bacteria; Bacillati; Actinomycetota. The record is from RNAcentral.
GCGGGUGUGGUGUAGUGGCUCGCACGUCAGCCUUCCAAGCUGAAAGAGACGGGUUCAAUUCCCGCCACCCGCU